CCUACGGGAGGCUGCAGUGGGGAAUAUUGGGCAAUGGGCGAAAGCCUGACCCAGCAACGCCGCGUGAAGGAAGAAGGCUUUCGGGUUGUAAACUUCUUUCGACAGGGAAGAGCAGAAGACGGUACCUGUCGAAUAAGCCACGGCUAACUACGUGCCAGCAGCCGCGGUAAUACGUAGGUGGCAAGCGUUGUCCGGAUGUACUGGGUGUAAAGGGCGUGUAGCCGGGCUGACAAGUCAGAUGUGAAAGCCGGGGGCUCAACCCCCGAACUGCAUUUGAAACUGUUGGUCUUGAGUAUCGGAGGGGGAGGCAGAAUUCCAAGUGUAGCGGGGAAAUGCGUAGAGAUUAGGAGGAACACCGGAGGCGAAGGCAGCCUGCUGGAAGAGAACUGACGGUGAGGCGCGAAAGCGUGGGGAGCAAACAGGAUUAGAUACCCGUGUAGUC
RNAcentral lists this ribosomal RNA (442 nucleotides) under uncultured bacterium. Its description in RNAcentral is "partial 16S ribosomal RNA". It matches the Rfam family "Bacterial small subunit ribosomal RNA", at positions 338 to 795 of the family's 1533-position model. The record is from RNAcentral.